GAUGAACGCUGGCGGCGUGCCUAACACAUGCAAGUCGAACGGAGUCGUUUUGGAAAUCUCUUCGGAGAUGGAAUUCUCGACUUAGUGGCGGACGGGUGAGUAACGCGUGAGCAAUCUGCCUUUAGAGGGGGAUAACAGUCGGAAACGGCUGCUAAUACCGCAUAAAGCAUUAAAUUCGCAUGUUUUUGAUGCCAAAGGAGCAAUCCGCUUUUAGAUGAGCUCGCGUCUGAUUAGCUAGUUGGCGGGGUAACGGCCCACCAAGGCGACGAUCAGUAGCCGGACUGAGAGGUUGAACGGCCACAUUGGGACUGAGACACGGCCCAGACUCCUACGGGAGGCAGCAGUGGGGAAUAUUGCGCAAUGGGGGAAACCCUGACGCAGCAACGCCGCGUGAUUGAAGAAGGCCUUCGGGUUGUAAAGAUCUUUAAUCAGGGACGAAACAAAUGACGGUACCUGAAGAAUAAGCUCCGGCUAACUACGUG
RNAcentral lists this ribosomal RNA (482 nucleotides) under uncultured bacterium. RNAcentral's name for it is "partial 16S ribosomal RNA". It matches the Rfam family "Bacterial small subunit ribosomal RNA", at positions 28 to 507 of the family's 1533-position model. The record is from RNAcentral.